GGGGAUGUCAAUAAUCGACAAAAACAAUUCUUUAAAAUCCGCUAUGCGCGCUGGCCGCGCGUAAAACUAGCCGCACAACAUAAGUGCAAAAAAUCUAUUCGCUAAGGUUAAAACCGCUUUUAGCGGCUUGAACUUAGUUCCUGCUUACGCUUAAACAAUCGUAAGCCAUCGGCCACUCACGCCUUAUAGGUGAUCCCCGGUGUUAACAUAAGGCUUACUCGUUUAAGUUGUCUGGCUUAAACGAGAACACUUCCCCAGACUAGAAGUUAAGAUUUUCGCUAACCUUAUUAUCUUUUCUUUGAACUACCAAGGUUAGCUAUCAUAGUAGAUGGGUUUUGACGAAGUUUUUUGGACAGGGGUGUGAGGCCCCUCAUCUCCACCC
Molecule: transfer-messenger RNA, 382 nt
Filed under: Candidatus Buchananbacteria bacterium CG10_big_fil_rev_8_21_14_0_10_42_9
Lineage: Bacteria; Candidatus Buchananiibacteriota
Rfam family: transfer-messenger RNA
About the family: Bacterial tmRNA, also known as 10Sa RNA or SsrA, is named for its dual tRNA and mRNA-like properties.
Source: RNAcentral